UAAAGCGUCAUUGAGCGAAUACCCACUA
This 28-nucleotide small RNA is filed under the name Bombyx mori (domestic silkworm). RNAcentral describes it as "ovarian small RNA-18329". Lineage: Eukaryota; Metazoa; Arthropoda; Insecta; Lepidoptera; Bombycidae. The record is from RNAcentral.